AUUGAACGCUGGCGGCAGGCCUAACACAUGCAAGUCGAGCGGAUGAGGAGAGCUUGCUCUCUGAUUCAGCGGCGGACGGGUGAGUAAUGCCUAGGAAUCUGCCUGGUAGUGGGGGACAACGUUUCGAAAGGAACGCUAAUACCGCAUACGUCCUACGGGAGAAAGUGGGGGAUCUUCGGACCUCACGCUAUCAGAUGAGCCUAGGUCGGAUUAGCUAGUUGGUGGGGUAACGGCUCACCAAGGCGACGAUCCGUAACUGGUCUGAGAGGAUGAUCAGUCACACUGGAACUGAGACACGGUCCAGACUCCUACGGGAGGCAGCAGUGGGGAAUAUUGGACAAUGGGCGAAAGCCUGAUCCAGCCAUGCCGCGUGUGUGAAGAAGGCCCUCGGGUCGUAAAGCACUUGUAAGCUGGGAGGAAGGGCUGUAACCU
Molecule: ribosomal RNA, 432 nt
Filed under: uncultured bacterium
Lineage: Bacteria
Description: bacterial SSU rRNA
Rfam family: Bacterial small subunit ribosomal RNA
Source: RNAcentral